AUUGAACGCUGGCGGCAUGCUUUACACAUGCAAGUCGAACGGCAGCGCGGGCUUCGGCCUGGCGGCGAGUGGCGAACGGGUGAGUAAUGCAUCGGAACGUGCCCAGUAGUGGGGGAUAGCCCGGCGAAAGCCGGAUUAAUACCGCAUACGACCUGAGGGUGCAAGCGGGGGACCGAUAGGCCUCGCGCUAUUGGAGCGGCCGAUGUCGGAUUAGCUAGUUGGUGGGGUAAAGGCUUACCAAGGCGACGAUCCGUAGCUGGUCUGAGAGGACGACCAGCCACACUGGGACUGAGACACGGCCCAGACUCCUACGGGAGGCAGCAGUGGGGAAUUUUGGACAAUGGGGGCAACCCUGAUCCAGCCAUGCCGCGUGCGGGAAGAAGGCCUUCGGGUUGUAAACCGCUUUUGUUCGGGAAGAAAUCCUCUGGGCUAAUACCCCGGGGGGAUGACGGUACCGGAAGAAUAAGCACCGGCUAACUACGUG
This 484-nucleotide ribosomal RNA is filed under the name uncultured bacterium. RNAcentral describes it as "partial 16S ribosomal RNA". It matches the Rfam family "Bacterial small subunit ribosomal RNA", at positions 28 to 507 of the family's 1533-position model. The record is from RNAcentral.